ACGGAAGGCAGCAGUGAGGAAUAUUGGUCAAUGGGCGGGAGCCUGAACCAGCCAAGUAGCGUGGAGGAUGACGGCCCUACGGGUUGUAAACUCCUUUUGCCGGGGGAUAAAAAACGGGACGUGUCCCGUCUUGCAGGUACCCGCGCGAAUAAGGACCGGCUAAUUCCGUGCCAGCAGCCGCGGUAAUACGGAAGGUCCGAGCGUUAUCCGGAUUUAUUGGGUUUAAAGGGAGCGCAGGCGGAGAGGCAAGCCAGCCGUAAAAUCGUUGAGCUCAACUCAAUCUCGCGGUUGGAACUGCUUCCCUUGAGUGCACGAGAGGAUGGUGGAAUUCGUGGUGUAGCGGUGAAAUGCAUAGAUAUCACGAAGAACUCCGAUUGCGUAGGCAGCUGACCAGGCCGUAAAUGACGCUCAUGCACGAAAGUGCGGGGAUCGAACAGGAUUAGAUACCCUGGUA
This 454-nucleotide ribosomal RNA is filed under the name uncultured Prevotella sp. Its description in RNAcentral is "partial 16S ribosomal RNA". It matches the Rfam family "Bacterial small subunit ribosomal RNA", at positions 341 to 792 of the family's 1533-position model. Lineage: Bacteria; Pseudomonadati; Bacteroidota; Bacteroidia; Bacteroidales; Prevotellaceae. The record is from RNAcentral.